Molecule: long non-coding RNA, 280 nt
Filed under: Elaeis guineensis (African oil palm)
Lineage: Eukaryota; Viridiplantae; Streptophyta; Magnoliopsida; Arecales; Arecaceae
Description: long non-coding RNA (EGUI_LNC018619)
Source: RNAcentral
UCCUAUGGGGCCUCCCACUGGCAUUGAAACGUCCCAUGGGGCGUCUCAAUAGGUCAGACAGAAAGUUCAGCUUUUUAUUUUGGUCUCAGGAUCUCAGAGAUCGUCCCAAAUGGAUCGUCUCAAUCACAUGGGUCAUCCCAGGUGGAUCAUCCCACUACGUGCCAUGAACCAAAAUGAAGCGUGCCGGUUGUCCAACAAAAGAUGAUGACCCAGAUGGAUCGUCUCAUUCUGUUCCAACCUAAUUUUUCAUAUAUUUAAGAUCUAAAACUUAUCAGAACAC